RNAcentral lists this long non-coding RNA (957 nucleotides) under Anas platyrhynchos platyrhynchos (common mallard). RNAcentral's name for it is "lncRNA (ENSAPLG00000017449.1)". The record is from RNAcentral. Lineage: Eukaryota; Metazoa; Chordata; Aves; Anseriformes; Anatidae.
GUACAUGCAUAUAUUUUCUUUACAUAAAAAGACAACCAACCGAAUAUUAAUUAAAACAUACUGAUUAUUAAAAUGCUCCAAUUAUUACCACAGACAUUGGCCCUGAUUCAAAAAAGUGUUUAAUCGCAUGUUGAUUCAUUUUUUUUCAGUCUUAGGGACUUUCCUGUGUUCCAGUGUGUGUGCAUAAGCAUUCUUCCCAAUUUCUUCCCCUCUCCUUGAAUUAGCAUUAGAAAAAAUCUUGUCUCCACAUGCAAAGAAACCCAAGGUUCAUAACGCAGGUUCUGUUGCCAUACCCCAUCUCUGAUUCUUCAGCUUCACUGAGAGAAUGUAUGGAGAAAAAUUCUCAGUUCUUGCAAGUUAUGGAGCCUCACUGUCUUCUCAUGAUAUAAUUUGUGCUGAAUAAGGAUGAAACCAAGACCAUGUCCAACAGCUGGUUCUGUGGCAGAGACAAAUUUUCAUCUGGACUGAAAUGAAGUAUACAUAAUGAAUAUGCACCAGACGUGACAUUGGGAGAUGUGGAUGGAAACAACUCUUCCUGCUACCAGAGCUAGUUCUGUGAGAAUGUCCUGUUAAAGAUCCACACAUGAAGUGGUUAAUAAUAUAAUAUAUAAUAUAUAUAAUAUAUUAUAUACAUAAUAUAUAUAUAUAUUAUGUAUAUAUUAUAUAUAGUAUAUAUAUUAUAGUAUAUAUGUAAUAUAAUAGUGGUUGCUCUCUCAAACACCAUAGCAUUUGUCAGGAAGCCCAAAACAGUUCAGUGCUUCUGGUCAGUGAUGGAAGUAAUAGGAAGUUGGUGGAGGUUAAGGAUGCCUUGUCUCAGAACAGGUUUCCGUGAGAGCAGAAAGACAGAUGUUCUGAAGGCACUGAAACUGAUCUCUGAAACAGUCUCUAGUUUGGGUGCACGGGUCUAAACCAAGCCUACAGAAUAAAUGGGAUGUCUCUGGGUUAGGCUGAUGUUUA